This 391-nucleotide ribosomal RNA is filed under the name Percolomonas cosmopolitus. Its description in RNAcentral is "partial Bacterial small subunit ribosomal RNA". The record is from RNAcentral. Lineage: Eukaryota; Heterolobosea; Eutetramitea; Percolomonadida; Percolomonadidae.
CAUGUUGUUGAUUCGUCGUCGUCUUCUUCUCGUGAUCCUGUUAAUCUGAAUCGUCGUUCUAGUACUCUGACAUCUUCUAAAUCUUCUCAACAUCUUUCUUCUUCUCCUUCUUCUUCUUCUGCCUCUGUUGUUCAUCCUUCUUAUAUUCAUUCUCAACCGACGAAUGUUUUAGAAUCUUUUGCUGAACUUCAAGCUUCUAAAGAUCAACUUGCUCAAUCUCGUGUCAAAACUGCUUCUCUUUUUACUUCCGAUACUCCUCCUUCUCCUCUUCCUCCUUCUUCUUCUUCUUCUUCUUCUUUUUCUGAUAAUGCUGAUAUUUUUGUUAAUGUUAAUUCAUUUAGCAAUUCUUCUUCUUCUUUGUUUUUUUCUUCUUCUUCUUCUUUUAUUUUUU